UGGGUUGCUUAAAUACUAUUCU
This 22-nucleotide microRNA is filed under the name Lotus japonicus. RNAcentral's name for it is "lja-miR11083c-5p". The record is from miRBase by way of RNAcentral. Lineage: Eukaryota; Viridiplantae; Streptophyta; Magnoliopsida; Fabales; Fabaceae.